GAACGUUGUUCCAGUGGAAAGUGUCGAAUUUUUCCCCUCGCAGGGCAGAUUUCUCCAGGUCACUUGACUUUUCUUCUGGGAGUAGGAGUUAGGAGAGAUUCCCCUCUAACCCCCCAGAGGCUGCUAAGGGAGGAGGAGACUGUGGACAUGAGCCCUCCCUGCUCACAAGCAUAUGCCCGGAGACCUGAUAGGGCAGUUUCUGGGCCAUGGACAUUGCUUUGAAGAGGGGGAGACUGGACAGCAUCUGUGGGUGCUGAGACCCCACCUUAGGACCUGAGAGAUUGAACUGUGUAAGCGCC
This 299-nucleotide long non-coding RNA is filed under the name Homo sapiens (human). RNAcentral's name for it is "non-protein coding lnc-ODF3L1-5:1". The record is from RNAcentral. Lineage: Eukaryota; Metazoa; Chordata; Mammalia; Primates; Hominidae.